UCAAAGCAGCCACCUGCCGGUUAGUGAGGGGCCAGCCCAGCCCAGGGCCCAGCAGGCUUCCCGCAUGAAUUCUGGGGUCCCGUGGGCACUGGAAACGCAGGCCUCGUGUUCAGAAAAUAAGAUGAGAGACGGGAGAAUGAAAAGCCGCUCCAUACCCAGUGGACGCGCCGCAACACGGAUCCGCCCCAGCGGCUUCUGUCGCAGACCGCCCCUCCCACAGCGCCCGCCGGGAGAUCGGGGCGCACUCAGCCGCCCUGUCAUUCCCCCUGUAAAUGUUGUUCAAACCUGUU
Molecule: long non-coding RNA, 290 nt
Organism: Suricata suricatta (meerkat)
Lineage: Eukaryota; Metazoa; Chordata; Mammalia; Carnivora; Herpestidae
Exons: 2
Source: RefSeq, a predicted model, not a curated record